GAACCGGUGCUUGCAUCGGGGAUUAGUGGCGAACGGGUGAGUAACACGUGAGUAACCUGCCCUUGACUCUGGGAUAAGCCUGGGAAACUGGGUCUAAUACCGGAUAUGACCUUCCAUCGCAUGGUGGUUGGUGGAAAGCUUUUGUGGUUUUGGAUGGACUCGCGGCCUAUCAGCUUGUUGGUGGGGUAAUGGCCUACCAAGGCGACGACGGGUAGCCGGCCUGAGAGGGUGACCGGCCACACUGGGACUGAGACACGGCCCAGACUCCUACGGGAGGCAGCAGUGGGGAAUAUUGCACAAUGGGCGCAAGCCUGAUGCAGCGACGCCGCGUGAGGGAUGACGGCCUUCGGGUUGUAAACCUCUUUCAGUAGGGAAGAAGCGAAAGUGACGGUACCUGCAGAAGAAGCGCCGGCUAACUACGUGCCAGCAGCCGCGGUAAUACGUAGGGCGCAAGCGUUAUCCGGAAUUAUUGGGCGUAAAGAGCUCGUAGGCGGUUUGUCGCGUCUGCCGUGAAAGUCCGGGGCUCAACUCCGGAUCUGCGGUGGGUACGGGCAGACUAGAGUGAUGUAGGGGAGACUGGAAUUCCUGGUGUAGCGGUGAAAUGCGCAGAUAUCAGGAGGAACACCGAUGGCGAAGGCAGGUCUCUGGGCAUUAACUGACGCUGAGGAGCGAAAGCAUGGGGAGCGAACAGGAUUAGAUACCCUGGUAGUCCAUGCCGUAAACGUUGGGCACUAGGUGUGGGGGACAUUCCACGUUUUCCGCGCCGUAGCUAACGCAUUAAGUGCCCCGCCUGGGGAGUACGGCCGCAAGGCUAAAACUCAAAGGAAUUGACGGGGGCCCGCACAAGCGGCGGAGCAUGCGGAUUAAUUCGAUGCAACGCGAAGAACCUUACCAAGGCUUGACAUGGACCGGACCGCCGCAGAAAUGUGGUUUCCCCUUUGGGGCCGGUUUACAGGUGGUGCAUGGUUGUCGUCAGCUCGUGUCGUGAGAUGUUGGGUUAAGUCCCGCAACGAGCGCAACCCUCGUUCUAUGUUGCCAGCGGUUCGGCCGGGGACUCAUAGGAGACUGCCGGGGUCAACUCGGAGGAAGGUGGGGACGACGUCAAAUCAUCAUGCCCCUUAUGUCUUGGGCUUCACGCAUGCUACAAUGGCCGGUACAAAGGGUUGCGAUACUGUGAGGUGGAGCUAAUCCCAAAAAGCCGGUCUCAGUUCGGAUUGGGGUCUGCAACUCGACCCCAUGAAGUCGGAGUCGCUAGUAAUCGCAGAUCAGCAACGCUGCGGUGAAUACGUUCCCGGGCCUUGUACACACCGCCCGUCAAGUCACGAAAGUUGGUAACACCCGAAGCCGGUGG
This 1351-nucleotide ribosomal RNA is filed under the name Arthrobacter sp. KRM_17. RNAcentral's name for it is "bacterial SSU rRNA". It matches the Rfam family "Bacterial small subunit ribosomal RNA", at positions 70 to 1433 of the family's 1533-position model. Lineage: Bacteria; Bacillati; Actinomycetota; Actinomycetes; Micrococcales; Micrococcaceae. The record is from RNAcentral.